UAGGGAAUAUUGCACAAUGGGCGAAAGCCUGAUGCAGCAACGCCGCGUGCACGAUGAAGGCCUUCGGGUCGUAAAGUGCUUUUCGGGGAGAUGAGGAAGGACAGUAUCCCCGGAAUAAGUCUCGGCUAACUACGUGCCAGCAGCCGCGGUAACACGUAGGAGGCAAGCGUUAUCCGAAUUUACUGGGCGUAAAGCGCGUGCAGGCGGUUCGGUAAGUUGGAUGUGAAAUCUCCUGGCUCAACUGGGAGAGGUCGUUCAAUACUGUCGGACUAGAGGAUGGUAGAGGGAGGUGGAAUUCCCGGUGUAGUGGUGAAAUGCGUAGAUAUCGGGAGGAACACCAGUGGCGAAAGCGGCCUCCUGGACCAUUCCUGACGCUCAGACGCGAAAGCUAGGGGAGCGAACGG
This 404-nucleotide ribosomal RNA is filed under the name uncultured bacterium. RNAcentral's name for it is "bacterial SSU rRNA". It matches the Rfam family "Bacterial small subunit ribosomal RNA", at positions 355 to 775 of the family's 1533-position model. The record is from RNAcentral.